This 24-nucleotide non-coding RNA is filed under the name Arabidopsis thaliana (thale cress). Lineage: Eukaryota; Viridiplantae; Streptophyta; Magnoliopsida; Brassicales; Brassicaceae. The record is from RNAcentral.
UGGGUAAUUUGCGCGCCUGCUGCC